RNAcentral lists this unclassified non-coding RNA (309 nucleotides) under fungal sp. Its description in RNAcentral is "partial internal transcribed spacer region". The stretch from base 1 to 46 matches the Rfam family "Eukaryotic small subunit ribosomal RNA", at positions 1786 to 1831 of the family's 1831-position model. The record is from RNAcentral. Lineage: Eukaryota; Fungi.
AAGUCGUAACAAGGUAACCGUAGGUGAACCUGCGGUUGGAUCAUUAACAAAGAUUGCAAAUGCGAGGGGAUGCAUCCCUGCCGCAUGCUGCAGCUUUCACUUUUUGUUCACUGUAUUGUCUCUGGCGGGCGGACGGGCGCAAGCCUGUCUGUCAGUUCUCGGAUGCAAAACCUUUGCUUCUGGGGACCGUGGACAAUCCGCCAAACGAAAACACACUCUGUGUCUUAACACUUUGGCUGAGCGUCCUUGCAUGCAUUUGAUUUGCAUACAAGUUUGCAACAACUUUUGGCAACGGAUCUCUUGGCUCUC